AAUGACAACUCUUUGUACUCUGUUUUUAAGCCAAUGUUCUACCCAAGAACAAGCAUUUUCAUCUAGACCAAUUUCCUUGAGUUUGAACACUAAUCUAUUGUGUGGAACUGUAUCAAAUGCCUUGGCAAAAUCCAAAUAGAUCACAUCCACGGCAACACCCUGAUCUAUACUUCUACUUACUUCUUCGUAGAACGCAAUCAAGUUAGUUUGACAUGACCUGUGCUUCAUAAAACCGUGCUGAUUUUUGCUGAUAACCAUUUUCUUCUCAAGGAAUUCUUGAAUAUUAUCCCUUAAUAACCUUUCAAAUAUUUUACCAGCCACAGA
Pelobates cultripes (western spadefoot toad) is the source of this 324-nucleotide non-coding RNA. The record is from the annotation of a GenBank genome assembly. NCBI's taxonomy places the organism in Eukaryota, Metazoa, Chordata, Amphibia, Anura, Pelobatidae.